This 73-nucleotide transfer RNA is filed under the name Loxodonta africana (African savanna elephant). It matches the Rfam family "tRNA". Rfam says of the family: Transfer RNA (tRNA) molecules are approximately 80 nucleotides in length. Their secondary structure includes four short double-helical elements and three loops (D, anti-codon, and T loops). Lineage: Eukaryota; Metazoa; Chordata; Mammalia; Proboscidea; Elephantidae. The record is from Rfam by way of RNAcentral.
GCCCGGCUAGCUUAGUUGGUGGAGCAUGAGGCUCUUAAUCUCACAGUUGUAGGUUCCAGCUCCACGUUGCGCG